CCUACGGGGGGCAGCAGUGGGGAAUAUUGGACAAUGGGCGAAAGCCUGAUCCAGCCAUGCCGCGUGUGUGAAGAAGGCCUUCGGGUUGUAAAGCACUUUCAGUGGGGAAGAAAGCCUUGGGGCUAAUACCCUCGAGGAAGGACAUCACCCACAGAAGAAGCACCGGCUAACUCCGUGCCAGCAGCCGCGGUAAUACGGAGGGUGCGAGCGUUAAUCGGAAUUACUGGGCGUAAAGCGCGCGUAGGCGGUCUGAUAAGCCGGUUGUGAAAGCCCCGGGCUCAACCUGGGAACGGCAUCCGGAACUGUCAGGCUAGAGUGCAGGAGAGGAAGGUAGAAUUCCCGGUGUAGCGGUGAAAUGCGUAGAGAUCGGGAGGAAUACCAGUGGCGAAGGCGGUCUUCUGGACUGACACUGACGCUGAGGUGCGAAAGCGUGGGUAGCAAACAGGAUUAGAUACCCUGGUAGUC
RNAcentral lists this ribosomal RNA (465 nucleotides) under Vreelandella stevensii. RNAcentral describes it as "partial 16S ribosomal RNA". It matches the Rfam family "Bacterial small subunit ribosomal RNA", at positions 338 to 795 of the family's 1533-position model. Lineage: Bacteria; Pseudomonadati; Pseudomonadota; Gammaproteobacteria; Oceanospirillales; Halomonadaceae. The record is from RNAcentral.